AAUCAACGCUGGCGGCGCGCUUAACACAUGCAAGUCGCACGAGAAAGGGAGCAAUCCUGAGUAAAGUGGCGCACGGGUGAGUAACACGUGGGUUAUCUGCCCUCUGGUGGGGAAUAACCCUGGGAAACCGGGGCUAAUACCGCAUGAAUCCGAGAGGAUAAAGCCGAAAGGCGCCGGAGGAGGAGCCCGCGGCCGAUUAGCUAGUUGGUAGGGUAAAAGCCUACCAAGGCAACGAUCGGUAGCCGGCCUGAGAGGGCACACGGCCACACUGGCACUGAGACACGGGCCAGACUCCUACGGGAGGCAGCAGUGGGGAAUCUUGCACAAUGGGGGAAACCCUGAUGCAGCGACGCCGCGUGAGCGAUGAAGCCCUUCGGGGUGUAAAGCUCUUUCGGCAGGAACGAUAAUGACGGUACCUGCGGAAGAAGCUGCGGCUAACUACGUGCCAGCAGCCGCGGUAAUACGUAGGCAGCAAGCGUUGUUCGGAGUUACUGGGCGUAAAGGGUGUGUAGGCGGCUCCGUAAGUUCGGUGUGAAAUCUCCUGGCUCAACUGGGAGGGU
RNAcentral lists this ribosomal RNA (560 nucleotides) under uncultured Acidobacteriota bacterium. RNAcentral describes it as "bacterial SSU rRNA". It matches the Rfam family "Bacterial small subunit ribosomal RNA", at positions 28 to 622 of the family's 1533-position model. Lineage: Bacteria; Pseudomonadati; Acidobacteriota. The record is from RNAcentral.